GCUGCUGUACUCAGAGGGCCACACCCCCCGCCCAUAUAGAACAUGUCCCGGCCUCCUAUAAAGACUCUCCAUCGUGGACACUUUGUACUCUCUCCACCACCACGCCGUCCUAAAACCAGGUGCAACUGCAGGUCUUGAGCCACUCCAGCUCUUCCCUCAUCGACUCUCAUCACAUCUACAGACAUGAUCAUCAGACUGGGCAGACUGACUCCUGGAUACUUCCGCCUCCUCCAGAGGCAAGUGGCCGGUGAGGUGCAGACGCAGCCACAAGACCGUGCAGUCAACCAGCUAGCCAUGAUGCUCGCCAUCAUGGGCCUGAGUUUGUCCUACUACAGUGCCAAACAGAUGACGGAGAAGGCCCAGGCCCAGCCUGCGCCCUGAAGAGGCUUGACUACGCUGGUCGUGGAGAUGAUGGAUGAGCCAAUGAGAGGGGGGGGGGGAGGAGGGGAGGAGCAGAGGCACAGCUGUGUCUUCCAGGACCACACUUUUCUGACCUCACGGUCAAAGUCUCACUCGGACACUGAAUUUCUUGGAUCCCUCACUCACCAUGACUUCAGGGCCGCUGUGUUUUCUUUACUUUCUGUUGUCGGGCCUUGAGGGGAUUGUGGGGACGGCUCACUUGUGGUCCUGGAUAAGACUUGUUUUAUGGACUGGUUUGGGUGGGUGAUCAAAACCAGCUGACUGCUAACUGGGUCUGACCACUAGUCGUUACAAAAGGUACAUGCUUGCAAGAUGCCGUCAAUACUGUUCUCGGCUACAAAAAGGGGAAACGAUCUCUAGUAUAACUGUGAAUUGUCAGUGCUCCAAAUAUAUGAAUGAACAGUAAUGCCCCUUUAAGGGAAAGGCUGACUGCAAUUGAGAUGUACCUUGUGAUGAAGUUAUGGCAGACCCAGAAUAUGGUAAAAGGGGAUUAAAAAGUUAAAUCGACUUCAUAAUUCACAACUUUCUUACUUUACGAGAGAACCUUGUGAGCAGAUGCGGAGCUGUACACAAACUGUCGACAUGAUAUACUUGUGACAUGUAUCUGUCAGGUGUCAAAUUCAGUGACUAUUUGGGCAAAAGUUUCACUUUCUGUGAUUUUGAUUUAUAAUCUAUGAAGUCCUGUUAAUUAGACGUGUGAUGACUUUAAUAAGCACCUGGUUAAAAACCCUUCCUGCAAUAUUAUCUGCCACAUGUUAAUGCAAACAUUUAACUUUACUGAACAUUGCAUGGGCGUGCAGACUUUUAAUCUAAGCAAAGUGAAUAAGGAUCUUGUUUUUAAUGAUGAAUGUAUUACUUUAUUUUGUAAUUUAAUAAAGCUGUGAAUAUUUUGAAUGAGAUGUACAGUGGAUAUUUAGUGAUUUUAUUUAAAAAAAAAAAAAAGUUUUAAUGCUAACUCGGAUUAAUCAUAAACUCAAGUUUCUCCACAAGCAAACAGUUGCUGGAGUUGAGUUUGAACAGUUCCUUGGU
This is a long non-coding RNA of Cottoperca gobio, 1449 nucleotides long. RefSeq lists it as uncharacterized. The record is from RefSeq and is a predicted model, not a curated record. Lineage: Eukaryota; Metazoa; Chordata; Actinopteri; Perciformes; Bovichtidae. The transcript is spliced from 3 exons.